UAGGAAUGUUUUUGUUCGUGGGCCAGU
Molecule: small RNA, 27 nt
Filed under: Bombyx mori (domestic silkworm)
Lineage: Eukaryota; Metazoa; Arthropoda; Insecta; Lepidoptera; Bombycidae
Description: piRNA piR-bmo-1271865
Source: RNAcentral